This 468-nucleotide ribosomal RNA is filed under the name uncultured bacterium. RNAcentral describes it as "partial 16S ribosomal RNA". It matches the Rfam family "Bacterial small subunit ribosomal RNA", at positions 28 to 507 of the family's 1533-position model. The record is from RNAcentral.
GACGAACGCUGGCGGCGUGCUUAACACAUGCAAGUCGAACGGAAAGGCCCUGCUUUUGUGGGGUGCUCGAGUGGCGAACGGGUGAGUAACACGUGAGUAACCUGCCCUUGACUUUGGGAUAACUUCAGGAAACUGGGGCUAAUACCGGAUAGGAGCUCCUGCUGCAUGGUGGGGGUUGGAAAGUUUCGGCGGUUGGGGAUGGACUCGCGGCUUAUCAGCUUGUUGGUGGGGUAGUGGCUUACCAAGGCUUUGACGGGUAGCCGGCCUGAGAGGGUGACCGGCCACAUUGGGACUGAGAUACGGCCCAGACUCCUACGGGAGGCAGUAGUGGGGAAUAUUGCACAAUGGGCGGAAGCCUGAUGCAGCAACGCCGCGUGCGAGAUGACGGCCUUCGGGUUGUAAACCGCUUUCGCCUGUGACGAAGCGUGAGUGACGGUAAUGGGUAAAGAAGCACCGGCUAACUACGUG